UACGAAGGGGGCUAGCGUUGCUCGGAAUCACUGGGCGUAAAGGGUGCGUAGGCGGGUCUUUAAGUCAGGGGUGAAAUCCUGGAGCUCAACUCCAGAACUGCCUUUGAUACUGAAGAUCUUGAGUACGGGAGAGGUGUGUGGAACUCCGAGUGUAGAGGUGAAAUUCGUAGAUAUUCGGAAGAACACCAGUGGCGAAGGCGACACACUGGCCCGUUACUGACGCUGAGGCGCGAAAGCGUGGGGAGCAAACAGG
Molecule: ribosomal RNA, 253 nt
Filed under: uncultured bacterium
Lineage: Bacteria
Description: partial 16S ribosomal RNA
Rfam family: Bacterial small subunit ribosomal RNA
Source: RNAcentral